GAAGUGCGGCUUUACCUGAGGCGGCGCGAGGAGCUGAGCUCGGUGACGGGAGAAGGAGGCGUGGCUUCAGCGCCAUGGGCGCGAGAGCGGGCGGUUAGGAGAAGCAACUGCCAAAGGCGUGGCCUCGCUUCUUCGCCCGCUUUCGUGUGCCUGUUGUUACUGCUAUUUAUUCGCUUCCCCGUGGCCCCUGACGCCUUGCAGUUUUAGCUGCCUUAGUACAUAGGUCCCUAACGUGUGCUUGUUCCGUUGAGGUUGCUUUUAGGCGCGUUUAUGAAUUUAAACAGGUUAGCUGCCGACGUCCUCAUAGAAUCUCUUGUCACAGACCUGCGGCGCGUUCCUAUACAUUGCCUACUCAGAAGUAAGCCCCCCAGCGAGGCCUGGGCCUCUUCCAGACUUUGAGGCCCUUAGCCUCUGCUCCCCGCCCCCAGACGAAAAGGAGCCCGUACUCACCAUGAAGUUGUUACAGUGAAUAGACAAUGAGAGGGAAAGCAAGAGAGGUACAGGGACAAUAAACUCAGCCAACUCAUAACAACAUGAUGGAAUUUUGAUGGCCUGGCAAAUGUUACUGUUUUGAUCUUUUAUCAGGUAAAGAACAGUUUUGCCCAAAUAAUUUCCAUGUAAGAAACUGUAACAUAUAAAACAACCCUCUCUUUCUAGUGUGAAGUCAGAACCCAACCCAGGAUUUUGAUUAAUCUUCUAGAGAUUAAUUGGACACAACUGUCCAUUCAUCUAUCCAACCUCACAGUUCCUUGAUUCAUAUUCCAUUCCAUUUAUAUUAUAUCAGAACUGUAAUGUUUAAUACAAAUCGAUGUACAAUUAUACCAAAUAUGGUUCAAAUGUGGGCUCUUCCUGUAAAGGAUGAGUUUAUUUUUAAAUGUUAUUAAGAAGCGCACAAAUUGCAAUUGUUACUAAGAGAAUAAUCUCAGCAACUGAACAGUUAGCGAGCUGUGUGUAUUCUUGAAAAGUUGUCUCCAUGGUUGUCAAAUCAUAACUUGCCUUUAAGUAAGAA
Molecule: long non-coding RNA, 1009 nt
Organism: Podarcis raffonei (Aeolian wall lizard)
Lineage: Eukaryota; Metazoa; Chordata; Lepidosauria; Squamata; Lacertidae
Exons: 3
Source: RefSeq, a predicted model, not a curated record